GACAGAGGGUGCAAACGUUGUUCGGAUUUACUGGGCGUAAAGCGUGUGUAGGCGGCUUGGCAAGUUGGAUGUGAAAGCCCACGGCUCAACCGUGGAAGCGCACCCAAAACUGCUUCGCUCGAGUCUCGGAGAGGAAGGUGGAAUGCUUGGUGUAGAGGUGCAAUUCGUAGAUAUCAAGCAGAACACCUGCGGCGAAGGCGGCCUUCUGGACGAUGACUGACGCUGAGACGCGAAAGCGUGGGGAGCGAACAGG
This 253-nucleotide ribosomal RNA is filed under the name uncultured bacterium. Its description in RNAcentral is "partial 16S ribosomal RNA". It matches the Rfam family "Bacterial small subunit ribosomal RNA", at positions 524 to 776 of the family's 1533-position model. The record is from RNAcentral.